CUGAAUACACGUGGAUUGAUUUGCGGCAUAUUGCAACCACGUUAAAAAAAGUGCUAAAAGGCCGGGUCAGGCAUUUC
Nitrospirae bacterium RBG_16_64_22 is the source of this 77-nucleotide non-coding RNA. Lineage: Bacteria; Pseudomonadati; Nitrospirota. The record is from Rfam.